This 707-nucleotide ribosomal RNA is filed under the name uncultured bacterium. RNAcentral's name for it is "bacterial LSU rRNA". It matches the Rfam family "Bacterial large subunit ribosomal RNA", at positions 167 to 924 of the family's 2925-position model. The record is from RNAcentral.
UAGGAUAUAGAAGCGAACCCAGGGAACUGAAACAUCUAAGUACCUGGAGGAAAAGAAAUCAACCGAGAUUCCCUUAGUAGCGGCGAGCGAAAGGGGACCAGCCCUAAACCUCUUUUAUAUUUAAUUGAACACUCUGGAAAGUGUGGCCAUAGUGGGUGAUAGCCCCUUAAAUGAAAAAUAUAUUAGAGUUAUUCGAGUAGGACGGGACACGAGAAAUCUUGUCUGAAUAUGGGGGGACCAUCCUCCAAGGCUAAAUACUCUCUACUGACCGAUAGUGAACUAGUACCGUGAGGGAAAGGCGAAAAGAACCCCGGUGAGGGGAGUGAAAUAGAACCUGAAAUUAUGUGCAUACAAGCAGUCGGAGCCCCCUUCGGGGGGUGACGGCGUACCUUUUGUAUAAUGGGUCAGCGACUUACUUUCAAUGGCAAGCUUAACCUUUUUAGGGGAGGCGUAGGGAAACCGAGUCUUAACUGGGCGACAUAGUCUUUGGGAGUAGACCCGAAACCGGGCGAUCUAUCCAUGGCCAGGGUGAAGGUUGGGUAACACUAACUGGAGGCCCGAACACACCUAUGUUGAAAAAUGGGGUGAUGAGCUGUGGAUAGGAGUGAAAGGCUAAUCAAGCUCGGAGAUAGCUGGUUCUCCUCGAAAUCUAUUUAGGUAGAGCCUCAUGUAUCACUGUUGGGGGUAGAGCACUGUUAUGGCUAGGG